This 394-nucleotide ribosomal RNA is filed under the name uncultured bacterium. RNAcentral describes it as "partial 16S ribosomal RNA". It matches the Rfam family "Bacterial small subunit ribosomal RNA", at positions 338 to 729 of the family's 1533-position model. The record is from RNAcentral.
CCUACGGGUGGCAGCAGUGAGGAAUAUUGGUCAAUGGACGCAAGUCUGAACCAGCCAUGCCGCGUGCAGGAAGACGGCUCUAUGAGUUGUAAACUGCUUUUGUACGAGGGUAAACGCAGAUACGCGUAUCUGUCUGAAAGUAUCUUACGAAUAAGGAUCGGCUAACUCCGUGCCAGCAGCCGCGGUAAUACGGAGUGUUCAAGCGUUAUCCGGAUUUAGUGGGUGUAAAGGGUGCGUAGGCGGUCGGAUAAGUUAGAGGUGAAAUCCCGAGGCUCAACUUCGGAAUUGCCUUGGAUACUGUUCGGCUAGAGAGCAGGUGCGGUAGGCGGAAUGUCUGGUGUAGCGGUGAAAUGCUUAGAGAUCAUAAAGAACACCGGUGGCGAAGGCAGCUUAC